GCCGUAAUGGUGUAGCGGUAUCAUUGCUGCCUUCCACUGACGAGAAUUCGUCUGAGUAAGCAGCAGACCGGAGUUCGACUCUCCGUUGCGGCA
Non-coding RNA from Dothideomycetidae sp. 11243, 93 nucleotides. The record is from the annotation of a GenBank genome assembly. NCBI's taxonomy places the organism in Eukaryota, Fungi, Ascomycota, Dothideomycetes.